AUUGAACGCUGGCGGCAGGCCUAACACAUGCAAGUCGAACGGUAGCACAGAGAGCUUGCUCUCGGGUGACGAGUGGCGGACGGGUGAGUAACGUCUGGGAAACUGCCCGAUGGAGGGGGAUAACUACUGGAAACGGUAGCUAAUACCGCAUAACGUCGCAAGACCAAAGUGGGGGACCUUCGGGCCUCACACCAUCGGAUGUGCCCAGAUGGGAUUAGCUAGUAGGGGGGGUAAUGGCUCACCUAGGCGACGAUCCCUAGCUGGUCUGAGAGGAUGACCAGCCACACGGGAACUGGGAAACGGUCCAGACUCCUACGGGAGGCAGCAGUGGGGAAUAUUGCACAAUGGGCGCAAGCCUGAUGCAGCCAUGCCGCGUGUAUGAAGAAGGCCUUCGGGUUGUAAAGUACUUUCAGCGGGGAGGAAGGCGGUGGAGUUAAUAACUUCACCGAUUGACGUUACCCGCAGAAGAAGCACCGGCUAACUCCGUGCCAGCCGCCGCCGUAA
RNAcentral lists this ribosomal RNA (504 nucleotides) under uncultured bacterium. Its description in RNAcentral is "partial 16S ribosomal RNA". It matches the Rfam family "Bacterial small subunit ribosomal RNA", at positions 29 to 523 of the family's 1533-position model. The record is from RNAcentral.